UCUACAUAUACAUUUUUACAGGGUUUUUUUGCAUAAAUUCUUUUGGAUCCGGGUUUUAUCCGGGAUUAACUAUAUCCGGAUCUUGGAUAAGGAUUUUAAGGAAUGUUGUCUUAAUUUCAAACUGAGAUAUAUCCUCUAAUUACUUCCAAAACAAUUCCAUAAUUACUCUAACAAAUGAUCGGCUGCGGAUACUUAGUAUUAAUUACUUUGAUUUAAAAAUUUAAAGAUAAUAUAUUGCGAAUAUUUAGAUUUGAAACUUUGGCAAAAAUCUCUCCAAAAAAUCUGCACGGUUUAUUUCUAAAAUAUCUACUCCGAGAUUUCUUCUAUCAACUACUUACUCCCAACAUUCCUUUUCUAAGAUUUCUUCUCUCCAUAUCUGUAAAAAAUCGAUUUUACGAAACAAAGUUAUUACUCUUCAAAUUGUAAAUGCUAGCAUAUUCCUAAAUCAUAACGAUUCCAAAGAUUUUAUCCCUAAUUAGUUGCAGUAUAUGCUAGGUAUGUGUGACCUAAUUAAUGAGUCUAUAAAUACUCUAAACCUUAGACGUCUCAUAACAUCAUCAUAAACACAAAAUUGACAAUUUGAAAAUUCCAUCUUACACACCUUCAUUCUCUUAAAAUUCCCGCAACCUUUGCAUUUCUCCGAGAUGCUCGAGGAUCCAGAAGAGUUUUUGUUUUUUUCAAUUUACUCAAACUGUGCUACUAACAGUUUUUUUGUUGCAAAUUUGAAUUAUUUGACUAUCUAUUCCAUUACACUUUCAUAUAACCAGAAUAUUAUGUUCUUUUUUGAAGCAAACAUGAGAAGGUAUGUUUACUAAAUUAUUCAUAUAACAAAUACUAAGUUAUUUUUAAGCAAACAUAUUCGCCAAGCAAAUGAGACAAAGAAAAACAGAGUAGAGUUUAUAUCUAACUUACAGUCAAUAACCGUUUUUUGUUUUCUACUUUACUCAAACUGUACUAUUCUCAGGUUUUUGCAGUUAUACUUUUUCAAUUUAUCUAAUAAAUUUUACUUUCAUUUAAGCAUGAAUUAUUUUAUCUACACACCAUUAGUAUAAACUGAUGGAGUAAAAGUUUAUUUAGUAACUUACCUGCUGCAUGUAAUAUAAUUUGUUGAGACAAAGUUGUAGCUCCAUUAUGACCUUACUUGACUUUAGUUUUACCUGCAAAACUAAUGUUUUAGAUUCAAAUAAAACAGUAGGUUUAAACAUUGAUAUGUAUAAAUAACCAGACGUUUACUCUUUACAUGCUUUAUUUGUUUGAUUAUGUUAGUUAUUUAUGGAAUUAGCUAGCUGAUAUAAACUAAACACAUAGUGACGAUUUUGAGUUAUUUGACACUUUGACAAGUAUAAUUUGAUAUGAAACCAUAUUUGUUUCUUUUGUUACUACUAAUAAUUCAUAUCAAUUUGAUGACGUCUUACUGCAACUUCUAGAGUUGUUUCAUAUAAUUUAAUCUCACCUGCAAAGGAAUACAUUCUUCAUUUACUCCCACGAUGUAACCUAAUUGAUGCAAUACAUAUCUAUUUCCAUUUCUCACUGUUUUCACUAUCAAUUUUCGGACUAUAAUGUUUUUUAUUCGAUUAUUACAGUAGCAGGAACUAUGAAAAUCUCUUACCUUUGAAUCGAGACAAAAAAUUUCAAUGGGAUCUGAUUUGUUGUUCUCGGGUUUCCAUGGGUUGAUUGGAUCUUCGGUUUACCAUAGAUUUUCUUCGAUUGAAUAUUUGCUUAUCAUUUUGGCAUCGACUCUUCGAAUCAAAACCACAUCCCGUCGUUGGAUUAUACAUCGGAGCUCUUCGAAGUUAGGUUCCGAUCUUGACUUAUCGAACAUGGUCUUUUUCAUUACGGAUCCGUAAUCGACAAAGAAAUUUGAAGAUUGUUGAUGAGAAUCGUAAGAGAUCCUUUUUUACAUCAAUCGUAAGAGAAGAAGAAGAUGAAAUGGGAUUUUUGUUUUGAGAAGGAAAGUUAAUUGGUUUCUUUUUCUCAGGUCUUUUUUUUU
RNAcentral lists this long non-coding RNA (1990 nucleotides) under Arabidopsis lyrata. RNAcentral's name for it is "long non-coding RNA (ALYR_LNC002571)". Lineage: Eukaryota; Viridiplantae; Streptophyta; Magnoliopsida; Brassicales; Brassicaceae. The record is from RNAcentral.